This 755-nucleotide long non-coding RNA is filed under the name Chrysolophus pictus (golden pheasant). RNAcentral describes it as "lncRNA (ENSCPIG00010012576.1)". Lineage: Eukaryota; Metazoa; Chordata; Aves; Galliformes; Phasianidae. The record is from RNAcentral.
GAAAUUUCAAUACAUCUUGACUCCACCUGCUCCGAUUAGAGAUUAUCACCUUAUGCCAGUGCUGGACAUAGUGCUGCGUGUCAUAGCUUUGAUAUACUCAGAGUUGUAGCAGAGAUGAUUCAGAAGAGGCAUCAAACAGAGGCAAAUAUUCUCUCAUCCUUCUAGCUGCUUCUAGGGUGGACUUGUCACUCUGAAAGUUGUCUCCACAAGAAAGGUUCCUUUUUGACAAGUGAAGAUGAGAGGAGCAAAUACUGCUGGUGGAUUCUCCAGCACAGAUCUUCACAUUCUGGAGAUUAUAGGAAAAGGAGCCCUGUGCCACCAUCUUCUGGUAAAAUCAAGGAAUGGACAAGACAGAUUUUGUCACUUGUUGAAGCUAGAAAGAUCAGUAUCUGGAUUGUUGUUGUGUCAGUAGGGAUUUUGAUUUUCUUUUGAAGUUUUACGUGCAGAGCUUUUUUACUGUCCUUCUAAUGCAGGAGCUAGGGACUCUCAACUACAGCAUGGAGAAGCCAGGUUCAAAGCCAACAAAAGGCAUUUCUGAACACAGCAGAAAGUGUAUGUAGAGUGGUACACUGCAAUGUGAUCCUGCAACCCCAAAGGAUUACAGCUCAAAAUGUUUCUCAUGCAUCUCUUCUCAGUGCUCUGCUGCAGGACAGAUCUGGGUACCACUGAGUGAGAACACUCAGACUCCAAGGAGUCCAAAUGAGCAUUGUUGAGCUAUCUCUUGCACUGCAAAACUUUUCUUGCUGAGAGAGGAC